Long non-coding RNA from Mustela lutreola (European mink), 15318 nucleotides. RefSeq lists it as uncharacterized. The transcript is spliced from 9 exons. NCBI's taxonomy places the organism in Eukaryota, Metazoa, Chordata, Mammalia, Carnivora, Mustelidae. The record is from RefSeq and is a predicted model, not a curated record.
GAAGCAAGAAUGAGGAAGCAGAAGCUUUGAGGUGGAGACAGUCUACGAGGGGAGAGGAGAAAGAAGGAGUGGCAGCAGCAGAAACAGUGAAGAAGAGGCAGAGAGCUAGACAAAACGGGGAGACAGAUUUCAGGGCAGCAGAGAGGAGACUUUGCAAGCAGAAAGAAUGAGCACAAGCAGAGGGAGCCGCAGAGGGAGCCGCAGAGGGAGCCGCAGAAGGACUCGAUCCAAGAACCCUGGGAUCAUGACCUGAACCGAAGGCAGUUGCCCAACCAACGGAACCACUGAGGGGUCCCUGAUUGAGAUGAGUAAAACUGAGGCACCAAGGGAUUAAGUGAUUUGUCCAGAGCCACACAAUGACAGAGCUGUGAUCAGAACUGAGCACUCUGGAUCCCAAGGCUUUUAAUUACCAUGUGAAGGUGGUCCAUUCUAUUUCUGGGAUAUUCUAAUUCAGGUAUCUUCAGCCUUCAACCUUGCAUCAGAGGCACAUCAGAAAUCAAGGUUCUGAGCUGGCUUAGGACAAAGAAAUGGAGACCAACCUAGCUCGGGCAACGCCAGGAGUGUCUCUGCAGAGAUGUCUUUAUCGAGGACUCCGAAGACCAGAGGAGGCAAGGAUGUGAAGAAGAGGUUGAAGAAUAUCAUCUGCCAGUAAUCGAUCAUGGUGGAGCCGGAGAAACCACAGAAAAACUGGUACCAGAAGAGCAGGUUGACGUAGCACUGCAGGCGGAGAGUGUGGCCUUGUGAGUGAGGACCCAUGGGCCGUGGUCACCAAUGGCUGCCUAGGAGCCUCUGGCAAGUCACCACGCUGACUCGGAGCUUCUGUUUUCUCAUUUGUGACACGCAGAGUUGUGUAAGGGUCAGCGGUAACUAAUCCUUAGAGUAGCAGCUGCCACUACAGCAACUAUGACUGUGAGUUAGGACCUGAAGGGAACUACACCGACUCGUUAAGGUGACCUGUGGGAUGUUUCUUGGCUCUGAAAGAGAUCCUGGUGCCCUGAGAUAUCCUGGACCUUGAAUCUUUCUGUCAGAAGGAAUGAGAAGGCUCAAUCUGUUUGUUGUGCUGCCCGCCCUGUUAGGACCUUGCUUGCUUCCGCUUCCAUCUGCUGGAAUCUCUGCCCUAUGGAGGGGGCGCCCAGAACCUGGUGAUGGCAUCACUGAGAGGGGGCCUGCGUUUUCCUCCCAAGAAGCUACAGUGCAGUAAUUAAUUCAUUGUUCAAAUUUCAGAGCAGGCAGCAUUUUAAUCCCCUCUGAAAUUGGUUUCGGAUGUGGAAGUCAUAGUUCUCCACCCUCUAAUUGCAAUGGGGAGAUAAUGCGGCAUCAGUAUCACAAUUUCGAGCACGGCAUCAGGCUGGAAAUAAAUACCAUUUAAGCUUUGAAAGCAUGGCUGGCUGAAAACAUUUCCUUUUCUAUUUCACAAAUUUAAUGCAGAGAAGAGGUUGUGCUUAUUCAAAGAACAGCUCCUUUGGAGGCAAGAAAAAAAAAUUAAAGGGGCAUUUUGAAUUCUAAGUAAACAGUCUUUCAUGCCCAGAGUGAGUUUCAAGUUAAAUAGAGUGACUUGUUUGCAUAGACUGGCUGAAUAUUACCAUGCAGUUUAUCGAAUUUACAUUAUUUUUUGUCAUGCUGUUUAUUUACAUAUACAUUGAACUUUGCACAAAAAUGCUCACUCUUGAGGGAGGGCAACUGUCACAGUGCCUAAAUCAGGACUGGGAGAAUGGAACAAGGGGACAAAAUGCAAUUUUGCAGCUGCUACUUGGCUAACGUGUUUCUCUGACAUCACUCUACUCGUCACUCGACUCUUAAUCCUCCCUUUUUCCUUAUGCAAACAGGAAUUGGAUUCUAUUUGGAGACUCUUGGGGAUUAUUCAAAGGUUCUUGAACUAGGUAAUGAAAACUCAGGCCCCUUGUUCCCUCUCUUAGUACAGCAACGUUCUGGCUUUUUCCAAUACCCAUUGUUAAUCAAGGGCUUUUCAAAUAAGAGCCUCUGAAAGUUUUAAUGCCUCAGUUAGGGUGUGCCUGCUUUGGGCUCUUAUCAACAAGGCAGAAAACAUAUUUUUUAGGAGAAACAAUGUUACCUUCCUAUGAUUGUAGAGUGUUACAUGCUUUCCUGAGCUCUGACACUAAGUCUCUUGAUAAUACUUUGAGGGACAGAGGGAGUCCUAGUGUCUCCAUAUUAUUGAUGAGGAAACCAAGGCUCAGAGAGGUUAAGUAACCUCCAAGCUCACACACUAUGCUAGAGUCAUGCAAGACUAAAACCCAGAUGAUCUCCCCAAUCCAAACAUUUUUGCCAUGAGACAUUUAAUGUCCUGACCUCAGUGAAUUCCCUGCUGGGAAGGCUGGGGAAGCUGAAAUGAUACUAUGUAUCAGGUGAAGCCAGGGACUCCAGUCUUAAACCUGUACUCUCCCAAGGCGUGGGGUAUAGUGCUUGCAUUGGGAAGGGUCUGUCGGGGGAGAAAAUUUAAGAUACAUGUCAGGCUAAUUAUUCUUCGAGUCCUUUUUUCUUGUAGUCAGAAAGUAAAUCUCAUUUAUGGAGCCCAUCUAAGAGCAAUGGCAAUAGCAAUAAUAAAAUGAUGGCUGACUCUAUAGGGUGAUUACUAUGUGCUAAUCACUUUAUAAACAAGCUCUCCUUUAAUCCUUCUAGCAAAUAUAGGGAGAAAAUUACUGUUAUCAUUCCCAUUUUACAGAUGGUAAAAAGAAGGUAUAAGGCCAUUACCAAAUAAAAGAGCCUAGACUUGAAACAAAUAUGUUUGACUCAAAAGUCCAUGCCUGUAACCACUCAUGCUGCCUUCUUUUUACCAGGUGCUUUCUGUACAGUGUUGCUAAUGCUCACAAUAAUGUCACAACAGAAGAAACUGAGACCCGGAGAAGUGAGUUAUAUUGCUCAAGUUCACAGAGCUAGGAGGAAGCUUUCAGGAUUCAAAAUCUAGGCUGGCCUGUCUUCCUCCCUUAUGCCGAGGUUGUUUGUCUUACCAUUGUGGUAGGAACGGGUCCCCUGGAAGGGCCUACCAAGGCCUGCACAAGAGGUUCUCAUAGGGCUACUCACCACGUUCUUGUAGAAGUAGUACACCACCAUCCUGGCCAGGCGCGAGUAACACCAGUGACCAUGCACAAGCAGCAGCUUCUUGAGGUGUCUGAAGCGGGAUAUGGCAAAGUCGCUGGCCAUAACAGCCUGAGAGGGCAGAACAGAGACAUCAGCUUCUAUCCAUGGCCACCAGUGAACCAAAGAGUCCCCCUUGAGGGCUCUGCUUUGUUCUAGGUCCGUACCUGGUAGGGCCAAAAAGACCCUUUGUCAUUAAGUGGCACCUAGGGUGGCUCUUUGGAAUUGGAUAUCCCCCAUCCUUUCUUCCGAAAAAUCCAAACCUCACUAGACUCCAAGAAAGGCAGCUUGUAAAGAAUUAGUGGUCUAGUCUGGCCUUUCAUCUCCUUCCAUUUCUCUGAUAAACAUUAACUGUGGCCUACAAUGUGUUGGCACCAUGCUAGAGAUGCGACGGCUAACCAGAAAGUAGUGGCGUCCAUGCAGAAAAGCCUCCCACCUCUCAAUGACCUGGUUGCCACCUGCAGAAGAACAUUGGCUCCACCUUCACAUGGAGAUGAUGGCGGGAGAGCUCUUCCUUUACGUGGAGCUGAACUGUGUUUUCUGCCUUUGGGAUUAUUCAGAAGAGGACAUAGUUCAUGGUUCUCUUAAGUGUAUGAGGUUUGAGACUAUGGAAAGAGUCUAGAUGUCCAUCAACAGAUGGAUAAAGAAGAUGUGGUUAAUAUACAUAUAAUGGAAUACUAUGCAGCCAUUAACCCCCCCACCCCGAAAUCUUGCCAUUUGCAAUGACAUGGAUGGAACUAGAAGGUAUUAUCCUAAUCAAAAUAAGUCAAUCAGAGAACGACAAUUAUCAUAUGAUCUCACUUGAUUUGAGGAAUUUGAGAAAUAAGGCAGAGGAUUGUAGGGGAAGAGAGGGAAAAACGAAACCACAUGAAACCAGAGAGGGAGACAAACCAUAAGAGACUUAAUCUCAGGAAACAAACUGAGGGUUGCUGGACGGGAGGGAGGUGGUGGAAGGGAUAGGGUGGCUGGGUGAUGGAUAAUGGGGAGGGUAUGUGCUAUGGGGAGUGCUGUGAAUUGUGUAAAACUGAUGAAUCACAGACCUGAACCCCUAAAACAAAUAAUAUAUUAUAUGUUAAUUUAAAAAAAAGAAGUAUGAGCUUUGGAAGUGCCUGGUUAUGGACUCUGGUAUAAGUCUUGGCCAGGCUGUUUAACCUUUCCCAGCAUUGGUUUCAUCUAGGAAAAAAAAAAAGGAGUGAUAAUUCCUAAUACACAGGGAUGUGAUUUUUCAAAUCAAUUGAAAUAAUAAAUCCAAGGUUUAGUGCAAGCACCUAGUACAGUGCUGGCUUAUGAAAGAAACUCAAAAGGUAACUGUGUUCUUUCAUCCUCACCAACAAAUUUAGGUAAUGCCUCCUGUCUGUACUAGCAGUGGGAAUAUAGUUAUUAAUGGUUCAAAACCACAAAGUGGGGUCUGUUUUCAUGGGAAAUGUUAGUAGCUCAGGCUAGUAUGCUUGUCCCAAGCUGAAUUUUGACUUAGUAAGUGUACCUUACAAUUUAUAGGUCAAUCUAGCCAUCGAGACUAAAAUGGCAAUUGAAAAAUGUUUUCAAAUGUCCUUAUCUCUGUCACUGCUCAUGGAGGGCACCACAUUUUUGGAUGUGGAUAGAAGUUACAGAGAGGAAGAAUGGAGUCAGUAGAAAGCUUAGCCCUCCCAUUCAGGAAGGCUUUAGAAUACAGGUAUUGCUGGUAAAGCUAAGCCCCCUCAAGGUCCUGGAAACCUUACUUCCAAAAUUCCCUAGGGACUUAUGCUAUCCGUAACUCCCUCCCAACUUGAAUGUAUAAUAACGGGCCACUCUCCAUGACCUUGGUGCAGCUCUUUCUGUCCGUGGGUCCUUUCCCCAUGCCUUAAUAAAACCACCUUUUUUGCACCCCUCCCCCCACCAAAAAAAACUCUAAGCAUCCUUCAAAUUUCCUCUGUAUCAGAAGGACUGGGCAGCAAAGGAUAUAGUGAUGGAGGUUAUGUAUAGGCAUGGAAGCCCUGUGACUCUCAGAUGAUAAUUCUGCAAAGCUCUUGGGGAGAAGAUCCUCCAACACUUGGGGGGGAUUCCAUAACUCUCCAAAAAGGGUCAAAGAGAGAAGAAAUGAGAAUAAUUGAGGGGAACAGUACCUGCAUGCCUUCCUGUCCAGAUAUCCCAAUUCCAAUAUCAGCAGCUUGAAUCAUGCUUACGUCAUUUGCUCCAUCACCUGAAAGGAGAGAGAUCAUGAGGUGUCUUUAUUCCUGGUCUAACUGCUGCAUGACAAUGGAAAGGGUGUUACACGAAUGGCUCUAAAGUCUGUGUACAUAAUUGGAUACAUUUAACAUUGCUCUGAAUAGUCCUACAAGAAAAGUCCUUGCUACAGUAUUUGGCCUGAGAGAGGUCUUUUCUUCUUCUUCUUUUUUUUUUAAUUAAAAAAAUUUUUUUUGUUAAUAUAUAAUGUAUUACUAGCCCCAGAGGUACAGGUCUGUGAAUCACCAGGUUUACACACUUCACAGCACUCACCAUAGCCUUUUCUUCUUUGACAAGAAGCUCUAUUAUUUGACAAAUGUUUAUUGUACCUUUUGUCUAGGCACAAUAUUAGGUAUUGGGAAUAAAGUGGUGAGUGAGGCUGGAGCAUGGCUUUGCAGUUUACAAUAAAAGGCCUUCACAAAUGUUACAGUGGACUUCACUAAUGAGCAAAUGGAGAAUCGGAGCAACAUAGAGAUUCUGCAAGGGUAAACCAAGCUAGGGAAGGGGCCCAGGAACAUUGGCACGAAGAUCUUUGCUACUUUUCCUAACUCAGUAGAAGCUAAAUAUAAACUAUUUAGCGUAUUAAGACCAUUGGAAGGUCUGGACAGCUAAAUCAUCAGAUUGGCAAUGGUGUCCAAGGACAGGGAUGGUGUUCGGUUUUGUUUCUGAAUAUAGGAAAAUGGGAUUGACUGAUUUUUUUUUAGUUGAGGAACAUUUAAUCACACUGUGUUCCCAUUUAACGAGCUAAGGUGUUUAUUUCAGGAAAUUGGAGGUUAGGGCACAAAAAUACACAAACAGCCUCCAGCACUGUCAUAUAGUUUUUCAGUGAUGUUGGAAAUGUCAUCUAUCUUUACUGUCUAAUAUGGAGACUACGAGCCCCAUGUGACUAUCAAAAUGCGGUUGGUGAAAUUCUAUUUAAUUAUAAAUUUCAAUACCUAUCUAUAGCUAGGUAGUAACCGUUUUACACAGCACAGCUCUACCCAGUGAGGCUUUCCUUACAAACCUGGCUUUUCCCAAAGCUUUAUCUUUCAGACUAGAGAUGAGCAAACUUUUUCUAUAAGGGGCCAGAUAGUAAAUAUUUUAGGCUCUGUGGGCCAAAAAGCAAAACUGAACAACUCUUUUUGCUGAAAGGUGAAUAGUCUUGUACACAUUUCACAGUUAAAAACAUAAAAGUCAUUCUCAUAUCCCUGCAAAAGCAUGUAGUGGUCUGGAUUCAGCCUGGCGGCCAUGGUUUGUGGCCUGCAUUGUCUUCAUUCUCCUCCCGGUCCCACCUCUUUUUCUAGUAGGUUCUCAUAAUAGAAUGCAUUUAAAUAUGUAUUAGAUAACUUGGAGAAUAUGGAAUUGGGGAGAGAAUUUUCUUUCCUUUGUUAUUUGGCAAGAAAAUUAAUCUUUAAAACUUUAUGAAUGUAAGUAGCCAUUAUUCUUGUAACGAUCAUUAUUUAUUUUCUUCUUCCCCAUGGAGAACAAAUCGACUCUUUAACUUCUUCUGGUAGCAAACCAGUGGAAGUAGAGGUAUGGAAUCAUGCCAUAACUCACCCUGUUGGGUUUUUUUCUGCUUCUGUGGCAGUGGAGCUAAUUUCUUACCUCAGACUGUCAGUCCUGGGCUAUUGUCUUAUGUGUGUUUAAAGUUCUGAAGAGGAUAAUUUGGGGAAUAAAAUCAGGAUGCAGUUGCUAAAACUGCUCCCUGUCUUUUUGCCCAUGCGCCCCCCCCUUUUUUUUUUUUGGUUUGAAUUGCUUUCACCUGAACACUGGGAGAAAAAACAAUGUGCAAGUAGGCUUCUUAAUUUGAAAUGCCAGGAAGGAAACUCUCCUUCUAUGUCUGUGUGGGAAGGAUAGAACCUGGAACCAUCUGUAGGAAUAUCCAUAAAUGAAUGUAAUGUUUACUAUGUGCUUGGUAUGUGCAGAGCACAGACAAAAUGAUAAGACUGAUAUGGUUUCCACUAUUCAAGGAACUCCUGGUCUCCUGAGCAGGCCAUUGCAGAAAGAGUAUCAGUGCUCUGCAGCUGUGAGGGCUGUGUGCUGCUUGAGUUCCCAGAGACAAGGAAGGUUAGAUGGGGUUGGAAUAAGGGGUAUUUUACAGAGGAAAUAGCUUGGCAAAUGCAAAGGCUCAGGAGUAAGAAAGAUAGGACAAGGCUCAUGGAGAAUGGCAAUCAGUUCCAUCUGGUUAGAGCAUGGAGUGCCAGAUGUUGGGGAACAGACAGUAGCUGUGGUGAAGGAUGUGGCUAGAGGGUUAGUGGAGACCAGAUUGUGAAGAUUCUUGGAAACCAGGUUUGCUUGUCCCUGGAAGGUUUGAUAUAGGUACAGUUUUGAUUUCUCUGCCUUAAUCACGUUUAAAGUUUAGGGUCCUAUGAGGAAUUUCUUCAUCAACCAACAGGUCUGCAUUCGUUGAGUGUUUGCUUUGUGCUGGGCCUUGUAUUUUAGAAUGGACAUAUGGGAUAGGCUCAACUUCUACAAUCUCCCCAUAAGCCAUCAACACUCAGCAGAAUAUCAAAUCCACAAACACCUGAUGUUUAUGUUAUUAGGCCAGCUGUUAAGUAUCAAAAGGGGAAUGGGCUGUAUCCCAGAACUGAAUGGCCUGAGUGUAUAUUACUGAGUUAUGUGAAUGUUCUGAAUUUGAGGCUUCUUCUGGCUUUAACCUCCAUUCAAGUCAUAAAUUUUCCUUAGUGAUCUGCUCAUCCUGAGAACUUUGAUUCACUCUCCCACUCUGCUGAGCCUCUGCUUCCUCUCCCAGCUGCCAGUCUUGGCUGUCACUUUGAACUCUCUCAGUCUAAGACAGUGAUCCUCAGCCUGGGUAUCUUGACUUUGACACAUGACCUUCCAACUCUGGUCCAGGCCUCUUGCCAGAUCAGCCUCACAGGCUGCACCCACAUCUCCACGUGAUAGGUACCUAUGGAAAGGGUCAUGACGUUCAACUUGUCUCGCACCAACUUGACUAUCAUACUCUUCUGGAGCGGGGUGGAACGGCAGCAUAGGACAGACCGGCAGUACUGCGUCAACUCCAAAAAUUUCAUCUCCAGUUUUCCCUGGAAAAUGGCAUUCAAUGUCUUCCCAUCAAUGACCAAUCCAACUUCUGGAACUGCAGCUCUUGAGGAGGGAGGCAGUGUCUCAGAAGGUAGACAGAACCCAAAGAUCUUGGGGUCUGGGUUCUGUGGUCCAUGGAAUUGCUUUACUUCUUCCAGUGCACAGCUGAGGAUGGAUUCACAAGUUUCCUAUAGAGUCAGAAUAAUAAAUAUGGUAUUAGUAAGCAACACUGGAAAUGUAGGUUGAAGAUUUCACUUUAUCCUUUAGUAAAAUAGUUACGAAACUCUACCACCAUAGAGGUUACUCAGGAAGCAUUCUCUGAUUUCUCUCGUUUCUCUGCAAUAUUUCAAAAGGCAUCAAAGCAAUGUGAAUUGCUUUUAAGCAGAUUAAUGGCAAAAGAGAGAUGGUGAGGGAAUGGGAGUAGAAGUAGUUCAGCAAGAUGAGGACAGAUACUGGGAUGGUUUAAGCUAAUAAAUAAUGUCAUGAUGGUAUUGUGCUUUCUAUUUCUCACAAGUCAUUUUAGUUCUCCUGAGGAAAUUGAGUGAUGAGGCAACUGAAACAGUAAAAUCAUUAGUAACUUGCCCUAGCUCACCCAACUUACUAGUGGAGGCAGAACAUUAUUACCAAAAUUAUGGCUUUUAAUAAAAAAAAAAAUACAUCGAAUGUUUAUCUGUUGGCAUGAAUGUUUUGGUCAUAUAGGUUAAAACUGACUAUGAAUGUGAUCAUCUUAAUGAUGUAAAGAAACUUCUCACUGAUUUUUUCUGAUGUUUACCUUGAAACCUAGUGAAGAAUUUAUUUGCCUCUUUUACUUUUGAUGGUAUCAGAGAUAAAGUCACCUUUUGGUUCUAAGUAUAUUCUUUGUACCCCUUUAGAUUUUGCAACAUUACUUUCAAAUAAAGAUAGAGAAAAGUUAUGGCAGUCAACUGUAUCAUCAAUUUUAAUAGCAUUGUUUUUUUCACAUAAUUAUUUUUUUGUUUUGUUUUUUAUAAGCUUUUUAAAAAUUUAAAUUCAAUUAAUUAACAUAUAAUAUUAGUUUCAGAGGUAGACGUCAGUGAUUCAUCAGUCUUAUAUAAUACCCAAUACUCAUUACAUCAAGUGCCUUCCUUAAUGCCCAUCCCCCAGUAACCCCAUCCCUCCAUCCCUUUCCCCUCUAGCAACCCUCAGUUUGUCUCUUAUGAUUUAUCUCCCUCUCUGAUUUUGCCCCCAUGAUCUUUAUUUAGCAGUGUUUUUUAUUCAUGGCAAGGAUGAUUUUCAUUUACUGUAGUGCUAACACAUUUCUAAAAAUAAAUUUAAGUAUGUAAAGUCAGUCAAUGUAAAUGAAAUCAUUAAAUUAAAAAAAAAAAGUAGAGGUAAUAUGUGGAUUUAGGCAAAAAUUGUGAAGACUGUUCUGAUAUGAUAGGUUUGGGGGCCAUUAAUCUAGAAGCUUCUGAGAAUAUUUGGAGUCAUUUAUUCUGGAGUGAGUAGAACUGCAGAUAAUCAUUCCUGAGUCUUCCCUUAGGGGAUGCUGAAUUGAGUGUUGCAAGCAAUAGGGUAUGCCCAGAACCUAGAGGGGUAAUAGGAAGUAGUUCCAGGAGUGGGUGGUUAUGCCUGAGGCACUUAUCUGGGAAAGAGAUCAAGACAGUCCAUGCUGGGAGUUGGGGCAGACACAAAUUAUAUAAAUUUCUCCAACAUAUGGCUGCAGGAAGUCAUUGGAGAUAUAAGUUUCAAAAUCUCUGAAUUUACUUAUUUCAAAUUGUGAUAUAAUAACCAAAUAGUUACUAUUCAUUUAACCUUUAGUAUAUGAUAGGCACUGUGGUAGGGAGUCCCUAAGAUGCUUCUCAAAGAUCCCUGCCCUCCUGGGAUGCAUUCCCCUGUCUGAUCCCUUCCCUUGGGCGUGAGCCACAUCUAGCAAUUCCUUUCUAAUGUUAAGAAUUCUGCAAAAGUGAUGGGAAGUCUCUUCCAGAUUAGCUUAUAAAAAGACCAUGGCUUCCAAUUUGGCACUCUUUUCUCUCUCUCUCUUGGAUGGCUUGUUGUGGGGGAAAAGCAGCUGCCAUGUUGUGAAGCAGCUCUAUGGAGAGGCCCAUGUGGUGAGGAACUGAAGUUUGCCAGCAAUCAUGUCUGUGAGCUUGGAAGAAAGGCUUCUCUCCACGUCCAAACAACCUACCAGUUGAGCCUUCAGAUGAGCGCAUACCCCUAACUGACAGCUUAACUGCAGCCUCCAGAAAGACCUGAACCAGAGGUACCCCGCUAAGCUGCCCCUGGACUCCUAACCCACAGAAACUGUGGGUUAAUAAAUAUUGGUUGUUUGCAGCCAUUAAAUUUUGGAGUAAUUUGCUAACUAAAACAAAUACUAUGCUAAUAAGUAUUUUUCUUCUAUGAUCUUAUAUAAUCCUGCCAAUAGCCUCUGAAAUAAAUCUUUCUAAUCCCUGUUUUACAUAUGAAGAGAGUGAAGUUUUGGGAGGUUUGAUACCUGGACCAUAUUAAGCUUUCAAUAUAUGUUACUAAAAAUGAUAAUAAUCAUUGCUGUUAUUAAUUUCUAUCAAAUACUCUAGUUCCUUCUAAAUUCCUUGACAGACCAGCCCUUUCAGUGAUGGGUUAGUAAUUCUCUCAUUUUAUGGAUGUGAACCCUGAGGUCUACAGAGGUCCCAUAACAUGCUUAUAGAUUUAAGGUACAUAACAAAGAAAUAGUAGCCCUAAAUCAAUUUAUAAUGAAUUAGGCAGAUUAAAACCCUUGGAGAAAUUAUUCACUGAAUACAGAAUUAUAUUAAACUAGGGUUUAAGUAAAUCUGAGAUUUGGAAUGGCUUUCCCCAGUUUCUGGCUUUACAUAUCCUUGUAGCCAGGUAAAGGGGUGAGAAAAACUAAUCUUAGAGGUUUAGUGGGCUUAGGGUGUGGACAGGGGCUAACAUUCAGAUACCAUCUGAGAGGGUCCCAGACAGCUUUAAAUGAAUCAACAGUGACUGAACAAAACAUGAAAUGUGACCCACUGUUCCUUAAGAACGUUGGCUAAUUAAUUGCUAAACAUCUUCAGCUUCCUGGAGGAAUACAUUACAUUUAACAGAAACCACAAAAGCCCACUCUAUCCCUCUUGGUCUGACUGACUCAGAAGUUUGCCCAUGUCUUCCUUCUGGGAUCACCUGGAGUGAAAUAAUCCUUGUAAAUAGAAUUUCCAUUGUAAGCAGGGCAGGCAGAUAUCAACUGUUAUUACAGGGAUCAAGUACUCAAGCAAGCAGCAAAUUAGAAAGAAAAAAAAAAUUCUUUCCUAAGCAUAAUAUUAAUGCCAAAGACUUCCCCAAGAUUAUUUUCAUUUUGAAAAUUCAUUGGGGUUUAAUCUAAUCACAGCAUAAUCUGUGCACUGGACAAGAAAGUAAUUUUUCCAAUUCUUACAAAAGGCCUCAGGCACUUUUCAUAGUAUACACUACUUAAAAAAAAAGUAUGUGCAUGUGAUUCUUUAUGGGAAAAAAAAAAAAAAGAAAAACCAGAUUUAAACCUCCUAAACCUCUGUUCUGGGUCCAAUCAGUCUGAAGCAAAACUGAAAGAGUGUGGCUCCAACAUCCUCCCUGACCCCCUUCCUGUGCUCUUCGUUCCCAUCUUUUUCCCUCUUCUCCAUCCUUUUUCCCACCGCAUGCCUACAUCUCCCCGUGCCCUCCUCCGACCAUCCCUCCGAUACUUUUCUUGCUUGUUUCCUUCUGGUAGGACCAUACAUCUCAAUGCCUCCUUCCCAUAGUCAUCAGCCAAGAUGUUGGAGCUUCACUUUCUGCAGUUUGCGUUGUGAAAAUAGACUCUCCCCGCCCCUAAAUAUAAAGCGGUAUUGUAACUUCAAAUACUCUUCCUCAGACUUCACACAAUCCUCUCUCUACAUCCCAUCCCCUGCUGCCCACAGUCUUCCUGGGGGGAGAAAACUGCAGUUUUAGGACUCUGCUUCUCCCUUUCUCUCUCUCUCUCCCAUCCUAUCUAAGCAUGCUGCCUCAUGAAUCACUCCCUUCAGGUUUUAUUCUGUGGCAAACCAAUUGGACACAUAAACUGGAGCUGAGAUUUUAAACUCAGAAUCAUUUUAAUGCGAAUGGGGCUUUUUCAAUGGGAGAGUUAAUCCAAAGUAGAAGAAACUCACAACUGGGGUUCUGGGAGCGAACAAUGUGUUAUGGCACAGAUAGCACUGGCCUGGUGGGAGGACAGUGUUCUAGAUUUAGUUCUGUCAGAAACUACCAGGGUGACCCUGGGCAAGUGGCUUAGUCCCAGCGGUCUUCAGUUUCCUCAUCUGUAAAAUGUGGAGAUUGGGCCAAGGGUGGAAGUUAGAAGAUCAAAACUUUCUAACAUGUACUACUGGAUGUAAUGUGAUCAAACUGGUCAGUGGUGCAUGGGGUUGAAGUGGGUGACUCCUGAGGGCCUCUGAGCUCCAAGGUUCAGUGAUAUUUUGGGGGCAGGGGUGCUUCCCUGUGGUACCCAAAUCCCACCCAUAAACCUGUCUCUUUUGGCUUAGAGGCUGUUCUGCACUUGGACAUCUGGUCUCUACUUUGGUCUCACCUGACUUUCUGUAUUAAUGGAGUAAACCAUGUCAGUCUGAUCUAACAAUCUGCAGGAAUAGGCGAUAUUGACUGCUGUCUCCUGCUUAUCUCCAGUCAAGACCCAGAGCUGGAUGCCAGCCUCCCGUAGAGCAGCGACUGUGUCUGGAACCCCUUCCUGUAGCCGGUCUUCGAUCCCAGUGGCUCCUGGAGUGAUCAAAGACAUCAGAGCUUACAAUUAGCGUGACAAACUGCUUAAAUUCCCUCAAGCCCUCUCAAACCAGAUAGUGAUUAUUAACUAUCUCCCAUGUCCUAGGCUGUGCUAAGCCGUCAGCAUACAACAGUGAAAUGGAGCUGGUCUCUACCCUCUUGCAACUCAAUAGCUUGUUGAAGGAAGAUUUAUAACUGAACCAUACGAGAAGAAAAGCCGAGGGUGUCCUACACUAGGAGACCUGAACUUCCUUUAGAAAGUCAGGGACAAUCUUGUUAAAAAGGGCCAUUUGAGCUCAGACCUGGAAGACAAGGCCAAGAAAGGGCAAAGGAGGAGAAUUCCAGGUAGAGGGAUGAGCAUAGAUGAAGGCCCAGAGGUCAGAGUAGAAGGCGGCAUAGAAAGGGAGGCAGCGUCGGGCAAGAGAUGAGGCCAGGAAGAAAGGAAGUCUGCUGGAUCCUACAGAGCUUUGUCGGGGCAUUACAGGAUUUCGGAUUUAUUUGGUAGACAAGAAAGCUAUUAAAGGGAAUUAAGAUGGACAGUGAUGGGAUCAGUUUUGAGUUUUAAGAAAAUCAUUGUAGAGAAUGACUGGAGAUUGGGAGAGGUGGGAUGAGAUUAAAGGCUGAGCCAGGGUGUGGAGAAAUCACCUGGGUGGGUCUAGCCGCAAGGAAACUGGGGAGAAGUGCAGAGACUUUGCUCGAGAACAGCUCAUGACAGAAUUGGGACUCGGGUUUUUGAUACUGUUCUUGGAAUUAAAUAUACAGACUCUAUAAUUUUUGAAUGAUCUCAAGCUUUGCACCCACCCUGAUGAAUAUAUAGCCAAAUAUUAAAUAGUUGUGAAGUGAUUAAGCAUAAAUUAAUCUGCAUUUAAAUUGAGAUUCACUUCAGACAACAGACUCAUGGCCACCCAUUUUACUCUGGGCAGGAGCAAGGCAUUUCAUUUCUUUUAAUAAUCCCUAGUGACAAUAGGUUGGCAAAGCAGUUACACCGGAUGCAUACUGAAAAGAGCAUUUCAUAGUGUGGGACCCGGGGUGAAUGCAAUGCGGCUUUCGUGGCAUAGCAGAUUCUUGGUGGCCCAGAUGCGCAAACAACCCCAUGAAAAGUGAUGGCUCAGGCCUUGUCUUUCCCUCCAAGGGUUAGCCUGGAAGCACUCCUGGUGCUUUCCCCUUGCACCCCUGCCUGGCGGAGAGUUCGGAGCAGUCUGGUUUACAUGGAGGAGAAGCUAGGGCUCAGCGGGGUAAGGGGAUAGGUCCCCGAGCACACAGCCCAGGACCAGGAUUUGGCCGUCAUCCCCAGAUCAGCACUGCCUCCCAAGACGAAAGAAGGCUUUAGCGAUGUGGUCAGCAUGUACACACAUCAGGCAUUGCCUUUUCCGGAUCUUGCUGCCAGCUGUGAGGUGAUUAACCCUGAUAAACAGAGCCUCCUCCUUCUGCGCAGGUAAUGCUUUACCUCUGACAGAAACAUAAGACUACCUCGUAGACCGUCUCCCCGCUUCUCAUCUUUACCUCAGUGUUAUCGGUGGAACUGCCGCAGAGCAGCAGCUUUUUGCGAAGCUUGAGUCUGUCCCUGCUUUUCGUCCCUUCUCUCUCAACCGUUAGCAUAUAUUUAUGUGUCCUUCAUGACCUGCGUCACGCUGAGCUUUCUCCCCGACUCUCUGUGGUUCAGUCAUGGCAGACCUCAGGGUUUCCAGCCCGUCUAGACUGUCUCCCAUCUAACUCUUCUUCAGGCCCCUCCCUCUGCCUGACAACUCUCUGCCUUUGUUUGGCCAGCUCCUCUGCCCUGCUCAUUUCCUCCCUUCCAGCACUCUCCCUGGCCCCAGUCUAGGCUGGUACCUUCUAUUUUGCGCCCAUACCACCAGGUGAAUCAUCCAGCCUGGCCCUCAUCACACUUGGUUGAAAUUCCUUGUUUAAUCAUCUGGCUUCCUUGCUAGAUUGAGCUCUGAGAGGAUAGGGCCUAGGGCUCUUGUUUGGUAGUCCCAAUACCUAGCAUGCCACUUGGCACAUAGUAGGUGCUCAAUAAACAUUUGAAUGAUUGGAGGAGAAGUAACCAAGGUCCUGGGCUUUAUCCAGCAGGCAGUGUGGGAAAUGCUCCUGGGCAUCCUCAGGAAGCAGUUUGUGGAGUCUGGAUUGGGUAUCUGUACCACUUGUGCCAAAUACCUGGAAGGGCACUCCAGGGAAGGCUUUUAAUUGAGACACAUCUGCAGCAGUGCCAGAGUCAGGGCCAAGAACUCCCUCUACAGUGUGUAGCAUUCCUUUUUUUUUUUUCUUUUUUUCUUUUUUUAAAAUUCAGUGAUGUCUUAUUUUAGUUACCGAGUA